CGGAAGGGGGCUAGCGUUGUUCGGAAUUACUGGGCGUAAAGGGCGCGUAGGCGGUCCCUCAAGUCAGGCGUGAAAGCCCCGGGCUCAACCUGGGAACCGCGCUUGAGACUGGCGGGCUAGAGUUCGGGAGAGGAUGGUGGAAUUCCCAGUGUAGAGGUGAGAUUCGUAGAUAUUGGGAAGAACACCGAUGGCGAAGGCAGCCAUCUGGACCGACACUGACGCUGAGGCGCGAAAGCGUGGGGAGCAAACAGGAUUAGAUACCCUGGUAGUCCACGCCGUAAACGAUGAGUGCUAGACGUCGGGGCUCUUGGAGCUUCGGUGUCGCAGCUAACGCAUUAAGCACUCCGCCUGGGGAGUACGGCCGCAAGGUUA
Molecule: ribosomal RNA, 372 nt
Filed under: uncultured organism
Description: bacterial SSU rRNA
Rfam family: Bacterial small subunit ribosomal RNA
Source: RNAcentral